Molecule: long non-coding RNA, 449 nt
Filed under: Phoenix dactylifera (date palm)
Lineage: Eukaryota; Viridiplantae; Streptophyta; Magnoliopsida; Arecales; Arecaceae
Description: long non-coding RNA (PDAC_LNC020427)
Source: RNAcentral
CAUGAAGUGCCAGGGGAUGACCUUUUCCUAUUCUGCUCCUGCUUGACAUGGCAAACAGUAUUGCCGAGUAUUAUCUCAGUUAUUUAGUCAGUUUCAUGGCCCUUCUUUUAGGAUAAUUACUUUUCUGUGCUUCCAUUCAAAAAUUAUAUUAAAUUAAAAAAUUUUUUCCCGAUCUUUGAUGGAUUCAUGUAUUUUUGUUGAAAUAGUAUACUUAAUAGCUAUCUAUUUUCAUAUCAUUUUUUUAAGUAUUUUAUACUUAUUAAAAAAAUUUAUUAUAAAAAAAAAGUCUUAUUUAUUAGAUUCAUCUUAGGCCCCGAAAUGUAUUGAGCAGCCCCUGUUGCUAUGCUCUCCAACUUGUAAGCGCACCAAAUCCUGCUUUACCUGUUCAAUGUAUUUCCCAUGGCUACAGUUAUGAUACAAAGGAUAUCAUUAAUAUGAUCCUGUUAACC